This 2166-nucleotide long non-coding RNA is filed under the name Triticum aestivum (bread wheat). Its description in RNAcentral is "long non-coding RNA (TAES_LNC019206)". Lineage: Eukaryota; Viridiplantae; Streptophyta; Magnoliopsida; Poales; Poaceae. The record is from RNAcentral.
GUUCUCGUCCGCGUUUUGACUACACUUCCAGGUUAGCUCUCUACUUCAGUUGCUCGCAGCUAGCAACUCUGAAUGCACUUCAUCCCGUGUUAAUUAACUUUCAGAAUUGUGCUGCUUUGUUUAUAAAUGAUGCUGGCCAUACUAUAUGUCUUCGUCUGAAGUGAUUCUUCAUUGCCCUUGCAGAGUAGCAUUGAUUUUCUUUAGAAGUACCCUGUGGCCGAGUGUGACAUUUGGUUUAUCAAAUUCUAAUGUGAUUUUCACUUCAAUCAAUUAGCAAUAGGUAACACUUGAUAUUGACACUGUUAUCUGCAGAAUUAUUUUUGUAAGAUACUUAUGUGAUUGCCAACAAGUUUCUGAAGAUGACUGUGCUCGUGAUUAAUUGUUUGCUCAUAAACCAAAUCAUCUAUAUGCACCUGAUCAGGGUUAGAUGAAAUUCAAAGAGUAUAAUUCUUGUGGUUAAUCGUUUUCUCGUAAACAGGCAACUGCGAAGGCAAAAUCUACAUGUGAGAAGUGCAGAUGAGCCCCGCUGUGCUAAUUACCCGGUAAGUUCAACUAAGCAAGUUCAGCUAUUCCCAGUUUCUCCUCUGCAUGUGGUGGUGGUGCUAGCUACUAACUUCUACUAUGUUCCUGCAUGUACACUCUCAUAAUUUCCAGGCUGAGUAGUCCGCAACGCAAAUCUUAUGCUCUCUCAUCUUCCCUUGUAAACUACCUAAACAUUGAUGAUUGUAAACCAGCUGUUGAUUAAUGACUGAAUGUGAUCCAUAAAAAAAAGACAUGACGCCAUCUUAUUUCUUGAAAAUGUACAUGCCUAUCUAGAUUUUUUUAGAACAAAUUUUUUUUACUCGUAUGUCUAGGUUGUGACUUGUGAGUUGUGACUGAGUGUGAGUUGAAUAAUUAUUGUGUAGAAUUUUAGAUUUCUAUAUUUGUUCUUUGACAUAUGAGAGUUACAUUGUGUGAUUAAUUAGGUCAUAGAACAUUGAUUUGAUUUAUCUUCUGCCAGUAAGCAUUGUCCUGUAACAAAUGUUCAGUAAUGGCAUAAUCGGAUCACAUGCUGUAGAUGAAUGCCUAAAGUGUACAUAUGCUUUUUUUUUGACCGAAAGCAAUACUGUCUAGCUUUUUGAGAAAGCUAAAAGUCUGAUUACAAAAACAAGCAAAGAUGAGGCUGGGUGUCGAAAUAGUACAGAUCCUGCAGAAGUUCAAAUUUGUACUAUGAGGGUAUUUGCGUGUAGCAAAGUAGGGUGAUCAUUGCAUGGCAUGCCUUCAGUCCUUGGUAGUCAUCUAAUGUACAUAGUAUCCUUAAAGUUUCUUCAAGUUGAGGAAUGAUCAAACUUAAUAGCAGACAUCCAUUGUGAUAAGCUAUUAUUAUAUUUCAUUUAUUUGCCGGCUUAAUACAGCUACACUGUUGAUCUUUACUCCGAUUUAUCUUGUAGUAACUCCUAACACUCACUUCCUAACGCUCACUUAUUUGCCGGCUUGAUACAGCUACACUGUUGAUCUUUACUCCCAUUAAAAAGUCAAUUGGUGACGGCAGUCUGUCCACUUUCGUUACAACACAUGUUAUAUUUGGCACAAAUAUUAAGAUGAGAGCGGAUAUGGAUAUUUUGAUUUUGCAUAAACUGCGGAAAGAUCUUACAACACAGUUUUAAAAUUCCAUUUUAAUGAAUGAGUAUUGUGCUUGUAUGGGUGGCAUCAUACUGUAUUUCACAGUGCUGAAAAUCAAAUGCACAUUGUUUUCACAUAAUCACAUUGUAUUCAAACAAUCUGUGUGAUGUCUCAUUGUCAUCCUUUGCAGUAUUCUGAAUUGGCUGCUGAAGUACAUAAGUGAAGUCUAUUGGUGAAGGAGAUGUGAAGAAUGAUAUAGAGCAAGUAGAUAAAAACCGCAGUUGUUGGCCCAAGGUAGGCUCCUUCACUCAGAGUAUAUGUUGGGACGGUUUCUUGUUCGACAUCAAUUUCUGGUUGGAGAUUGAACUGUAUUCCAGUUUGAUUAUGUGAUUACAUCAAAUUUGUGCAUAUUAACUGAAAUGUGUAAUGCUACAAAGUAGAUAGGUUUUCCUAGCAUUUUACCACGGGGCGUCUCUUUUGUUUGUUUUCUGCCCCUUGUCUUGUACAUUCUCCAUUUAAUGACAUAUGGAUGGCUAACCAACCAUUUUUGUUUGUUUAUAACAG